UCUGCUGUUCAUUACAGAUUAAAAAGUGUCCCAGAAUAUCAAACAAUUCUAUUCACUGGCGACACAAUCUCCAUAACUGAAUUUAAAGACAAAAUUAUGGAGAAAAACACCACACAAAACCGACCAAGCAGCUUCGAUCUUCACAUUAAGGACGAACAUUCUGGACGAGGUUAUUUCCUUAUCCUACUGCAUAGUCUAUGACGAAAAGAACACACUGAUCCCCAAGAAUUCAAAACUCGUCAUAUCACGUAUUCCCUUGAAGGACAACAGCAAACAGACCAAGACUAUAGUAAGGACAUUACCAAAACUCAGUUCUACCACUCCCAACCCUCCACGUACACAACCGACCCCUGUAAACCUAAGAAACGAAUAUCCGACCUA
Long non-coding RNA from Octopus sinensis (East Asian common octopus), 381 nucleotides. RefSeq lists it as uncharacterized. The transcript is spliced from 3 exons. The record is from RefSeq and is a predicted model, not a curated record. Lineage: Eukaryota; Metazoa; Mollusca; Cephalopoda; Octopoda; Octopodidae.